CAUCUACUCUCUCCAUCCCAAAAUUCUUGUCUUAGUUUUGUCUAAAAAUGAGUGUAUCUAAAUACGAAAGAAAGAGUAGAUACAUUCAUAUAUAAGCAAAUCUGAGAAAAGAAUUUUGGGACGGAGGGGGUAUUAC
This is a non-coding RNA of Hordeum vulgare subsp. vulgare (domesticated barley), 136 nucleotides long. Lineage: Eukaryota; Viridiplantae; Streptophyta; Magnoliopsida; Poales; Poaceae. The record is from Rfam.